CAGUCGCCACGGUAAUACGUAGGUCCCGAGCGUUGUCCGGAUUUAUUGGGCGUAAAGCGAGCGCAGGCGGUUAGAUAAGUCUGAAGUUAAAGGCUGUGGCUUAACCAUAGUAUGCUUUGGAAACUGUUUAACUUGAGUGCAGAAGGGGAGAGUGGAAUUCCAUGUGUAGCGGUGAAAUGCGUAGAUAUAUGGAGGAACACCGGUGGCGAAAGCGGCUCUCUGGUCUGUAACUGACGCUGAGGCUCGAAAGCGUGGGGAGCAAACAGGAUUAGAUACCCGCGUAGUCCCUGUCUCUUAUACA
This 301-nucleotide ribosomal RNA is filed under the name uncultured bacterium. RNAcentral describes it as "partial 16S ribosomal RNA". It matches the Rfam family "Bacterial small subunit ribosomal RNA", at positions 509 to 808 of the family's 1533-position model. The record is from RNAcentral.